GACCUCGCUCUAAGCGGUGAGUGAGAAGAGCCGAGAGGGGCUAACUGA
This 48-nucleotide non-coding RNA is filed under the name unclassified sequences. Its description in RNAcentral is "gut-2 RNA". It matches the Rfam family "gut-2 RNA". Rfam says of the family: gut metagenomes. The record is from Rfam by way of RNAcentral.